ACGGAGGGUGCUAGCGUUGUUCGGAAUCACUGGGCGUAAAGGGCGCGUAGGCGGCGGGUCAAGUCGGCUUUGUGAAAGCCCGGGGCUCAACCCCGGAGGUGCGGCCGAGACUGAUCCGCUGGAGGCCGGAAGAGGAGGGUGGAAUACCCAGUGUAGAGGUGAAAUUCGUAGAUAUUGGGUGGAACACCGGUGGCGAAAGCGGCUCUCUGGUCCGGACCUGACGCUGAGGCGCGAAAGCGUGGGGAGCAAA
Molecule: ribosomal RNA, 250 nt
Filed under: uncultured bacterium
Lineage: Bacteria
Description: partial 16S ribosomal RNA
Rfam family: Bacterial small subunit ribosomal RNA
Source: RNAcentral